Molecule: long non-coding RNA, 406 nt
Organism: Eurytemora carolleeae
Lineage: Eukaryota; Metazoa; Arthropoda; Copepoda; Calanoida; Temoridae
Exons: 3
Source: RefSeq, a predicted model, not a curated record
UGUAAGCCUAAGAAUCCAAGCUAGUUAGCAUUUUCUUCUGCUACCUAUAUAUACAGCUAUGAGGGAAGACUACUAGCUUCUCCUAAGGGAUCAAACUAAUGAAAGGAAUGUUCAUCUAUUUGAUACUGGUACACGGAAACCAUUUAACGAUGGGAGACCAUCUACCCAUAAACAAAAGACUGCUCAUACCGGUGCGCAGUAAAGAAAAGCACGGACGGAUAUGAGCGUGGACGAGUAGGAGCGCGGCACCGAGGUGACUCCUUCACAGAAGAACUCUGAAGAACUCACUCCCACUCCAGGCAACUGGGUCUGAAAUGCGCUCAUGGAUUGAGAAUCUUUUACUAUUUUAUUAUUUCUAUGCUAUUUUACUAUUCUAUUCUAUUUUCAGAUUGAUUAAAAUGAGGAU